RNAcentral lists this unclassified non-coding RNA (346 nucleotides) under soil metagenome. RNAcentral describes it as "partial contains 5.8S ribosomal RNA, internal transcribed spacer 2, and large subunit ribosomal RNA". The stretch from base 1 to 120 matches the Rfam family "5.8S ribosomal RNA", at positions 35 to 154 of the family's 154-position model. The record is from RNAcentral.
GAUGAAGAACGCAGCGAAAUGCGAUACGUAAUGUGAAUUGCAGAAUUCAGUGAAUCAUCGAAUCUUUGAACGCACAUUGCGCCCGCCAGUAUUCUGGCGGGCAUGCCUGUUCGAGCGUCAUUUCAACCCUCAAGCCCUCGGGUUUGGUGUUGGGGAUCGGCGAGCCUUUCUGGCAAGCCGGCCCCGAAAUCUAGUGGCGGUCUCGCUGCAGCCUCCAUUGCGUAGUAGUAAAACCCUCGCAACUGGAACGCGGCGCGGCCAAGCCGUUAAACCCCCAACUUCUGAAUGUUGACCUCGGAUCAGGUAGGAAUACCCGCUGAACUUAAGCAUAUCAAUAAGCGGAGGA